CAGAGUUGCAAAACUCCCACAAACCAUCGCGAAUCUUACCCGUACGGUUGCCUCGGCGCUGGCGGUCCGGAAGGCCCUCGGGCCCCCUGGAUCCUCGGGUCUCCCGCUCGCGGGAGGCUGCCCGCCGGAGUGCCGAAACCAAACUCUUGAUAUUUUAUGUCUCUCUGAGUAAACUUUUAAAUAAGUCA
RNAcentral lists this unclassified non-coding RNA (188 nucleotides) under soil metagenome. RNAcentral describes it as "partial internal transcribed spacer 1". The record is from RNAcentral.